CUGCUGCCUCCCGUAGGAGUCUGGGCCGUGUCUCAGUCCCAGUGUGGCCGGCCACCCUCUCAGGCCGGCUACCCAUCGUCGCCUUGGUAGGCCAUUACCCUACCAACUAGCUAAUGGGACGCGAGUCCAUCUUUCAGCGUCAGGUCUCCCCAACUUUUCCUAUAUAAACAUGCACUUAUAUAACUCAUCCGGCAUUAGCUCACCUUUCGGUGAGUUGUUCCAGUCUAAAAGGCAGGUCACUCACGUGUUACU
Molecule: ribosomal RNA, 252 nt
Filed under: uncultured bacterium
Lineage: Bacteria
Description: partial 16S ribosomal RNA
Source: RNAcentral